UUGGGAAUUGCCGAAAACCCAUAAAAGAGUAGGCG
Molecule: non-coding RNA, 35 nt
Filed under: unclassified sequences
Description: DUF805b RNA
Rfam family: DUF805b RNA
About the family: Bacteroidetes, Chlorobi (1 example), Proteobacteria. Lineage (Flavobacteria)
Source: RNAcentral